Molecule: long non-coding RNA, 255 nt
Filed under: Gossypium barbadense (sea-island cotton)
Lineage: Eukaryota; Viridiplantae; Streptophyta; Magnoliopsida; Malvales; Malvaceae
Description: long non-coding RNA (GBAR_LNC014790)
Source: RNAcentral
CCUAGCUUAAAAAUCAGCACUUCUUUUCUCUUUACUGAGCUCAUCGACAAACAAUACAACGAAUUCUUUCAGCUUAAGAAUUCCAACCAGAAGCUUAAUGUCCUUGUUUAACCCUUCUUCAAAUCUUUUACAAAUAACAGUCUUGGUCGGAAUACAUGCACAGGCAUAUUUACUCAGUUUGACAAAUUUUUGUUCGUACUCUGAUAAAGAAAUACGACCCUAUUUAAGCUCGAGAAAUUCACAUUUAUGAUCUAG